UCCGUAGGUGAACCUGCGGAAGGAUCAUU
This 29-nucleotide non-coding RNA is filed under the name Rhodotorula mucilaginosa. The record is from RNAcentral. RNAcentral also lists the same sequence under 70 other names. Lineage: Eukaryota; Fungi; Basidiomycota; Microbotryomycetes; Sporidiobolales; Sporidiobolaceae.